Strigops habroptila (Kakapo) is the source of this 1851-nucleotide long non-coding RNA. Lineage: Eukaryota; Metazoa; Chordata; Aves; Psittaciformes; Psittacidae. The record is from Ensembl.
CCGCAGCGCAGACCCCCCACUCCUGCACCGCAGCCCCUGCGCUGCCCGCCCUGCCCCACGCCCAGCCCCAUACCCUGCCCCACGACCGCGCCGCCAGCCCCUUCCCCACGGCGAAACAAAAGAUCCCCAUUAACGAGACGAACAAACGGCUCUGGGCCGGUUCCUAACGAAAUUUCCUCCCUCACGCUCCCUCCUCUUUCUUUUUUCUCCCCGCCAAAACCCAAGGCCCCUUCGGAGCUUGGGCACAGCCUUGGGCACUGUGUCCUGCCGCGGUUGCGGAGCGUGGGGAAAUCCGCGGGCAGUGAGCAGGGCUCAGCUCUAGAGAACGAUUCGUCUGAUCCGUGGGCUCCGACACCGGAGGGAAACGGGUUCCCACUCCCGUUCCGGGCUCGCAGACGGGCGGCUCUACCCCGCGGACCCGCACCGGGGCGGGGCUCCGCUGCUACCUUCAAACGGUACCCCCAUCUCAUGUAGAGAGUCUCCUUCCUUUAAAAUAAAUACCGCUAUUUUCGAUUUGCUCACAAACGCUCAUAUUUAUUUGUAAUGAAAAAGCCUGACUGUAUUUUUUCUUUAUUUAAAAUAUUUCCGAGGUGAGCAGCCAACAGAGCGAACAUUGGCAACGAGAAAUCCCCGUCCUGUGCUGUGACAACGACCAGCACAAGAAUCCAAAAGGAAAUCGGGUACAAAGCGACCGAAAUGCAUUUAAAGAAAAAAAAAAGUUUAUAUAAUAUAUAUAAAAUAUAUUUGUAUAUAAAAUGUAUAUUAAUAUAUGCUAUAUAUUAUACAUAGUAUAUAUAUUAUAAUAUAGAUUCCUUUAUUAAAUUUUUGUCUAUAUAAAUAAUACCCGCGGUGACGGCUUCUUUACCCCGAGGGGCUGCCGGCUCCCAGCGUGGCAGAGGCAGACGGUCCCCACAAAACGCGGAUAUAAUGUAGGAACGGCUCCGGUGAGGGGGUGAAGGCGGCGGAGAGAGGCGCACCCCCUCCUUCCUGGAGGGAUUAUCUCAUGUCAGUGCACAAAUAGGUCGGGAACACCGAGCGGGACCCUUUUUCGGCCUGGGGUUCGCAGCGUCCUGCCCGCGACGUGGCCCCAGUGGGCAGCGAUUAACGGGGACGUUAAAUCCAGCUGGGGAGGACGCAGGGCUCGGGCCGCCGCCGCCGUUUCGCUUCCUUACAGCCCUGGAAAACGACUGCUCCGAUGGACACCUCGGGGGGAAUUCAACGGUUUCUCUCUUUUUUCUUUUUUUUUUUUUUCUUUUCCCAAUUUAGCCCAAGCCAAGUUCAUUGUGAACGAAGACGUGGAAGAUACCUAUUGCUGGAGGCUGCAGGAAAUCAGGGAAGAAAGGACGAAAAUUCCCCCGCUACAUGGACUCCCAGCAAGGCUGGUUCUGCCUGAGGCCAGGUCCCUGGUUUGCUGCAGAAGCUACCAGCGGGAGCUACCAGCGGGCAUGCAGAGGACUCACAAACACAGUAUGAGGUACACUAUGGCUCACUGCCAGCAAGAACGGGAUGAGACAAGACCUUUUGCUUUCUGGUCUCUGUGGGAAAUGCUCCAGCAAUAGAUGAGCACAGGCAGAGGCAACAGCAAAGCUGGAAGAGAUCGACUGUGGAGGGAUGAUGUGGCACACUUCUCCCAUCGAUGCUCACUGUGUGACCGCUGCACUCAGCGUCUCACAGCCAUGGUGAGGACCCUUCAUGAGAGCACAAGAGGGUCUGCUGGGUGCCGUCCCCUUUCUUGCACAACUGAGGAGCUGCAGAGGAGAAAACCAAAACUAGAAGCCUCAGGAGUGAGAUUUAUGGCUUGGUUAAUAACAUCCUUCCCUUCCCAAUGACACCAGUGAAGAAAGAGAGGGC